RNAcentral lists this ribosomal RNA (350 nucleotides) under uncultured bacterium. RNAcentral describes it as "bacterial SSU rRNA". It matches the Rfam family "Bacterial small subunit ribosomal RNA", at positions 917 to 1290 of the family's 1533-position model. The record is from RNAcentral.
GGGCCCGCACAAGCGGUGGAGUAUGUGGUUUAAUUCGAUGCAACGCGAAGAACCUUACCAGGGUUUGACAUCCUGCGAAUCUCUUGGAAACGAGAGAGUGCCUUCGGGAACGCAGUGACAGGUGGUGCAUGGCUGUCGUCAGCUCGUGUCGUGAGAUGUUGGGUUAAGUCCCGCAACGAGCGCAACCCACGUCGUUAGUUGCCAGCAUUUAGUUGGGCACUCUAGCGAGACCGCCGGUGAUAAACCGGAGGAAGGUGUGGAUGACGUCAAGUCCUCAUGGCCCUUACGGGUUGGGCUACACACGUGCUACAAUGGUAGUGACAAUGGGUUAAUCCCCAAAAACUAUCUCA